This is an RNA transcript of Cololabis saira (Pacific saury), 1984 nucleotides long. It is a transcript of the gene named chemokine-like protein TAFA-1, with no coding region annotated. The record is from RefSeq and is a predicted model, not a curated record. The transcript is spliced from 6 exons. Lineage: Eukaryota; Metazoa; Chordata; Actinopteri; Beloniformes; Belonidae.
AGCGGGCAGCCAAAGAGCUAAAAAGAAAAAAAAGGCAAAACAGCCAGAACUGCCUGGGGAGAAAUAAAAAUCUAUUCUAAAUGUAAAUAAUUGUUAAUCCCGUGGUCACAGAUACGUGAGCGGUGCCAGCCUCCCUGAUUUGCAAUUGUUAGAAGCACAUGAUCAGAUGGAGUCCCACCAUGCCAUCUAAUCCAGAGGCGGUCUGGCUUUAAGACAUGUGAUACAGUUUUUACACUGAGCCCAGCUGUGCGGGAGCAUUGGUGUGGUGGUUCUCCCAGCCAGCAGAGCUGAGCAGAGCUGAGCUGCUGGAAGGAUGCGGACGCUCCGACAGAUUCCGCUACACUUCAUUAAGGAGCUCUCCGCGCAGCGUGCCUGUAAAUGCGAGGGGCGCAGAUGAAUCCAGUGUCAGCGAGGGCAGCUCCUCCAGGUGAAGCAGUGGCUUUUUUUCUUCUUUUUUUCUUCUUUUUUUUAAAAAGGUGGAAUUGAAAAGGCUGUAAAAUCUAUUUCCCCGACUCCCGACUUGACGGUUAUUUCUGAGUCACUGGACUGUUGCUAUCAAAGUGCGGAGCAGGGGAGGCAGGAGUCCGCGGAGUUCCUCCUCCAGCCACAUUCCAGAGUUACUGGAUGGGAUCAUCAUAAGCACAUUUAUGGAUGGAUUUAUGACAGUCUAUUGAAGUAUUUGUGCAGUUUGUUGGGUUGUUCAGCAGAUGUGUCCUGUCAUGUCCUGGCUGCUCUGCUUGUGCCUCUGGGUUAGUCUGACUGCCAUCCAGCUGUGCCAGGCUACUUUCUACGACACCAUCCAGCAGAAUCCUGGCACGAGGCCUGGUCGAACCACAAUACACAUGAUUGAGGGGGGCACCUGUGAGGUAAUUGCUGCUCACAGAUGCUGUAAUAAGAAUCGUAUUGAGGAACGGUCACAGACGGUCAAGUGUUCUUGUCUGCCAGGGAAAGUGGCAGGAACCACCAGAAACAGGCCUUCGUGUGUUGACGCGUCCAUAGUCAUUGGGAAGUGGUGGUGUGAGAUGGAGCCCUGCUUAGAAGGGGAAGAAUGCAAGACACUGCCUGACAAUUCGGGCUGGAUGUGCUAUGCUGGGAACAAGAUUAAAACCACAAGGAACACUCAGCCAUACACUACAUCAACAUAUUAACCGUUUGCGGGAAGGAUGGAAGUAAAUACCUCUAGAUCCAAGGUCAGCAUUUCCAUAUGUGCUGCAACGCCAACCAAUGUCAUUGGGCCAAUUAUCACAAGAGACAAUGAACCUAUUGUUGCUUCAAGAAAUGUGAACACUUUCAAAUAAAAGUUUAAAAAGAUGUAGAAACACUAAGCACAUCUUGCUCAAGGCUCCCAAAAUACCGACGCUCCAAGCAGCCUGCGGGGAACUUCAUCAUAACCUUGUAAUGAAUCUUUUUUCAUCAUUUUUUUCCCCCCAACUUUGAGAUGAAGCAUGACUGUCUGUGCAUUUGGAUUAAUAUUUGCAGAGUAACUGACAGCCCUUUUCAGACAUUAGUGAGAAGGAUGUAAAGCACCAAACAAGAGAGGAAUCUAUCAAAAAACAUGGAUUGAGAAAACACAGAAGCUGAAAGCCCUCAGGAUUUUAUUUUCUCUUUGUAAUAUUGUACAUAAAUUGUUUGUCCUUUUCAGUGUACAUGAACUUAAUUUGUGGUGAUGGUGAAUCUAAACUCUUCUUAUAAACAAAACCCAACACAGUCGGAGGUUGAUGAGAUCAUCUACAUCAUGUUAAGAUGAAACAGUCAUUAAGGAGAAGUUUUAAAAAUACAGUUUGUGUGUUCUGACAUACCAUUGGUUUGUAUGGUACGUGUACACCUUUGAUCACCUCUUAAAUGGCUUUACCAGUUUGAUUUGGUAAUGUGCCAUCAGUAGGUUAUUUUCGAUACUUGAAAUGCCUUAUUUGUGUGAAAUCAUUCAAAUGAUGUACAUAUGAAGUCAUUUAUGGACAUGUGAUGAAUUCUAAUAAAGUUAUUG